AACUUUUGGCAACGGAUCUCUUGGCUCUCGCAUCGAUGAAGAACGCAGCGAAAUGCGAUAAGUAAUGUGAAUUGCAGAAUUCAGUGAAUCAUCCAAUCUUUGAACGCACCUUGCGCUCCUUGGUAUUCCUAGGAGCAUGCCUGUUUGAUUGUCAUCAACUUCUCAAACCCCUCAAAUUUAUAUAGAGACGCCUUUGGACUUGGAGUAUUGCUGGCUUCAUUUGUCAGCUCCUCUUAAAUUCAUUAGCUUGUACCUUGUGGAUAAGCGUUGGUUUGAUAAUAUCUAUUCCAUCGCUGUGAAACAAAUGUCAGCUACUAAACGAUUCAUAUCAUUAACCAUUUGACCUCAAAUCAGGUAGGACUCCCCGCUGAACUUAAGCAUAUCUAUAAGCGGAGGCG
Molecule: unclassified non-coding RNA, 398 nt
Filed under: uncultured Hygrophorus
Lineage: Eukaryota; Fungi; Basidiomycota; Agaricomycetes; Agaricales; Hygrophoraceae
Description: sequence contains ITS2
Rfam family: 5.8S ribosomal RNA (bases 1-154)
Source: RNAcentral